RNAcentral lists this transfer RNA (70 nucleotides) under Cordylochernes scorpioides. RNAcentral describes it as "tRNA-Thr". It matches the Rfam family "tRNA". From Rfam's summary of the family: Transfer RNA (tRNA) molecules are approximately 80 nucleotides in length. Their secondary structure includes four short double-helical elements and three loops (D, anti-codon, and T loops). The record is from RNAcentral. Lineage: Eukaryota; Metazoa; Arthropoda; Arachnida; Pseudoscorpiones; Chernetidae.
GGCCCCGUGGCUUGGUUAAAGCGUCUGUCAAGUAAACAAGAGAUCGUGAGUUCGAAUCUCGCCGGUGCCU